GCUCGACGAAAUGCCAGUGAUCCCAAAAGAGUUCCCAUGCUGGUGAAACUGCACAUGUCUAGGCUAGGGGCAAGGAAAAGGUUAGUGGACAAGCUGGUUGGGCCAGAAAAGGAAAUUGCCAAUGCAAUCUCAAAUCAAUGCAAAAUCUGGCUAUGCACACAACGUGCUCGACAUAAUGCUACUAGCAUCAAAUGGUCUUUGCUCGUGCCCAAAAACUCUAGGUUAGGGUCUCUUUAGGGGUUAGUCAUGAUGGUCAAGUUAUUUUGGCAAAAUGCAAAACUUGUUAGUACAAUUGUUUGAGAAAAUCAUUUCUGGUCUCAAAGUUGAGGCUGAUAUUACAUGCAUUUAAAAUCAUCCAAUG
Molecule: long non-coding RNA, 361 nt
Filed under: Hordeum vulgare
Lineage: Eukaryota; Viridiplantae; Streptophyta; Magnoliopsida; Poales; Poaceae
Description: long non-coding RNA (HVUL_LNC018339)
Source: RNAcentral